AUUGAACGCUGGCGGCAGGCCUAACACAUGCAAGUCGAGCGGAUGAAGGGAGCUGGCUCCUGGAUUCAGCGGCGGACGGGUGAGUAAUGCCUAGGAAUCUGCCUGGUAGUGGGGGAUAACGUCCGGAAACGGGCGCUAAUACCGCAUACGUCCUGAGGGAGAAAGUGGGGGAUCUUCGGACCUCACGCUAUCAGAUGAGCCUAGGUCGGAUUGGCUAGUUGGUGGGGUAAAGGCCUACCAAGGCGACGAUCCGUAAAUGGUCUGAGAGGAUGAUCAGUCACACUGGAACUGAGACACGGUCCAGACUCCUACGGGAGGCAGGAGUGGGGAAUAUUGGACAAUGGGCGAAAGCCUGAUCCAGCCAUGCCGCGUGUGUGAAGAAGGUCUUCGGAUUGUAAAGCACUUUAAGUUGGGAGGAAGGGCAGUAAGUUAAUACCUUGCUGUUUUGACGUUACCAACAGAAUAAGCACCGGCUAACUUCGUG
This 484-nucleotide ribosomal RNA is filed under the name uncultured bacterium. Its description in RNAcentral is "partial 16S ribosomal RNA". It matches the Rfam family "Bacterial small subunit ribosomal RNA", at positions 30 to 507 of the family's 1533-position model. The record is from RNAcentral.